CCUACGGGUGGCAGCAGUGGGGAAUAUUGCACAAUGGGGGAAAGCCUGAUGCAGCAACGCCGCGUGAAGGAAGACGGCUUUCGGGUUGUAAACUUCUUUUAUGAGGGAAGAGUAGUAGACGGUGCUACUUGACGAAGCAACGGCUAACUAGGUGCAAGCAGCCGGGGUAAUACGUAGGUGGCAAGGGUUGUCCGGAUUUACUGGGUGUAAAGGGCGUGAAGCCGGGCAGACAAGUCAGAUGUGAAAUUCCGGGGCUCAACUUUGGACCUGCAUUUGAAACUGUUUGUCUUGAGUAACGUAGAGGCUGGCGGAAUUCCUAGUGUAGCGGUGAAAUGCGUAGAUAUUAGGAGGAACACCAGUGGCGAAGGCGGUCAACUGGGCUUCAACUGACGCUGAGGCGCGAAAGUGUGGGGAGCAAACAGGAUUAGAUACCCGAGUAGUC
Molecule: ribosomal RNA, 442 nt
Filed under: uncultured bacterium
Lineage: Bacteria
Description: partial 16S ribosomal RNA
Rfam family: Bacterial small subunit ribosomal RNA
Source: RNAcentral